Molecule: small nuclear RNA, 107 nt
Filed under: Octopus vulgaris (common octopus)
Lineage: Eukaryota; Metazoa; Mollusca; Cephalopoda; Octopoda; Octopodidae
Also listed under: 1 other name
Source: RNAcentral
GAACUUGCUUCGGCAGUACAUUUACUAAAAUUGGAACGAUACAGAGAAGAUUAGAAUGGCCCCUGCGCAAGGAUGACACGCAAACUCUUGAAGCGUUCCAUAUUUUU